RNAcentral lists this ribosomal RNA (394 nucleotides) under Phalacrocorax aristotelis. RNAcentral's name for it is "Gulosus aristotelis partial 12S small subunit ribosomal RNA". It matches the Rfam family "Bacterial small subunit ribosomal RNA", at positions 794 to 1384 of the family's 1533-position model. Lineage: Eukaryota; Metazoa; Chordata; Aves; Suliformes; Phalacrocoracidae. The record is from RNAcentral.
GCCUAGCCCUAAAUCUUGGCACUUCCCCUACUAAAGUGCCCGCCCGAGAACUACGAGCACAAACGCUUAAAACUCUAAGGACUUGGCGGUGCCCCAAACCCACCUAGAGGAGCCUGUUCUAUAAUCGAUAACCCACGAUUCACCCGACCGCCCCUUGCCAAAACAGCCUACAUACCGCCGUCGUCAGCCCACCUUCGUGAAAGAAAAAUAGUGAGCGCAAUAGCCUCGCCCGCUAACAAGACAGGUCAAGGUAUAGCUCAUGGGGCGGAAGAAAUGGGCUACAUUUUCUGAAACAGAAAAUUUAACGAAAGAGGACGUGAAAUCGUCCCCGAAAGGCGGAUUUAGCAGUAAAGCGGGACAAUAGGGCCCCCUUUAAACUGGCCCUGGGGCACGU